CAGUAGCCGCGGUAAUACCGAGGGUGCGAGCGUUAAUCGGAUUUACUUGGCGUAAAGCGUGCGUAGGCGGCUUCUUAAGUCGGAUGUGAAAUCCCUGAGCUUAACUUAGGAAUUGCAUUCGAUACUGGGAAGCUAGAGUAUGGGAGAGGAUGGUAGAAUUCCAGGUGUAGCGGUGAAAUGCGUAGAGAUCUGGAGGAAUACCGAUGGCGAAGGCAGCCAUCUGGCCUAAUACUGACGCUGAGGUACGAAAGCAUGGGGAGCAAACAGGAUUAGAUACCCCUGUAGUCCCUGUCUCUUAUAC
RNAcentral lists this ribosomal RNA (301 nucleotides) under uncultured bacterium. RNAcentral's name for it is "partial 16S ribosomal RNA". It matches the Rfam family "Bacterial small subunit ribosomal RNA", at positions 509 to 807 of the family's 1533-position model. The record is from RNAcentral.